UUGCCUGCAAAACAGCUGCUGGGCGCAGACCGGGCGGCUUGCACCAUGAAGGCAGCAGGAGCCCUGGUGCUCCUCGCCAUCGCGCUCCUCUGCUUCUCCUCAGAGGUUGCAGCUCAGCCCGGCAGCAGGUGUGACGGCGAUGACACGAUGUGCCCAGUGGUCUACGAUCCUGUCUGUGGCACGGAUGGCAAGACAUAUCCCAACGACUGCUACCUUCAGGCAGCAAAGACGAAAGUCCGGGUGAACUACCAGGGGCCUUGUCGCUAGCGGGGCGAGGUGGAGAGGCGAUGCCCUUCCACUCCCCGGCACGUCCCCGUGGGUGAGGACGACGUGCAACCUCAUCUGCUGCGCAAAUGCAUCCGCGCUC
Gavialis gangeticus (Gharial) is the source of this 367-nucleotide long non-coding RNA. RefSeq lists it as uncharacterized. The record is from RefSeq and is a predicted model, not a curated record. The transcript has 4 exons. Lineage: Eukaryota; Metazoa; Chordata; Crocodylia; Gavialidae.